RNAcentral lists this ribosomal RNA (844 nucleotides) under uncultured bacterium. Its description in RNAcentral is "bacterial SSU rRNA". It matches the Rfam family "Bacterial small subunit ribosomal RNA", at positions 10 to 861 of the family's 1533-position model. The record is from RNAcentral.
AGUUUGAUCCUGGCUCAGGACGAACGCUGGCGGCGUGCUUAACACAUGCAAGUCGAGCGGGGUCCAACUUGUCGCAAGACAAGGGAAGACCUAGCGGCGAACGGGUGAGUAACACGUGAGGAACCUGCCCCGAAGACUGGGAUAACACCGGGAAACCGGUGCUAAUACCGGAUGCCCUCAGAGAAUCGCAUGGCUCUUUGAGGAAAUGGAUUCCGCUUCGGGAGGGCCUCGCGGCCUAUCAGCUUGUUGGUGGGGUAACGGCCUACCAAGGCUCCGACGGGUAGCUGGUCUGAGAGGACGACCAGCCACACUGGGACUGAGACACGGCCCAGACUCCUACGGGAGGCAGCAGUGGGGAAUCUUGCGCAAUGGGCGAAAGCCUGACGCAGCAACGCCGCGUGCGGGACGAAGGCCUUCGGGUUGUAAACCGCUUUCAGCAGGGACGAACAUGACGGUACCUGCAGAAGAAGCCCCGGCCAACUACGUGCCAGCAGCCGCGGUAAUACGUAGGGGGCGAGCGUUGUCCGGAUUUAUUGGGCGUAAAGAGCUCGUAGGCGGUUUGGCAAGUCGGGUGUGAAAACUCCGGGCUCAACUCGGAGACGCCACUCGAUACUGCCAUGACUCGAGUCCGGUAGGGGAGUGCGGAAUUCCUGGUGUAGCGGUGAAAUGCGCAGAUAUCAGGAGGAACACCGGUGGCGAAGGCGGCACUCUGGGCCGGUACUGACGCUGAGGAGCGAAAGCGUGGGGAGCGAACAGGAUUAGAUACCCUGGUAGUCCACGCCGUAAACGUUGGGCACUAGGUGUGGGGCUCGAUCGACGGGCUCCGUGCCGUAGCUAACGCAUU